UUGAGCUUGCUCUCUUUGUCGGCAAGCGGCAAACGGGUGAGUAAUAUCUGGGGAUCUACCCAAAAGAGGGGGAUAACUACUAGAAAUGGUAGCUAAUACCGCAUAAAGUUGAAAAACCAAAGUGGGGGAUCUUUUUAAGACCUCAUGCUUUUGGAUGAACCCAGACGAGAUUAGCUUGUUGGUAAGGUAAAAGCUUACCAAGGCCACGAUCUCUAGCUGGUCUGAGAGGAUAACCAGCCACACUGGAACUGAGACACGGUCCAGACUCCUACGGGAGGCAGCAGUGGGGAAUAUUGCACAAUGGGCGAAAGCCUGAUGCAGCUAUGCCGCGUGUAUGAAGAAGGCCUUAGGGUUGUAAAGUACUUUCAGCAGGGAGGAAAGAAGUAAAACUAAUAAUUUUAUUUCGUGACGUUACCCCGCAGAAGA
RNAcentral lists this ribosomal RNA (426 nucleotides) under Buchnera aphidicola (Rhopalosiphum padi). RNAcentral describes it as "bacterial SSU rRNA". It matches the Rfam family "Bacterial small subunit ribosomal RNA", at positions 62 to 488 of the family's 1533-position model. The record is from RNAcentral. Lineage: Bacteria; Pseudomonadati; Pseudomonadota; Gammaproteobacteria; Enterobacterales; Erwiniaceae.